GACAGAGGGUGCAAACGUUGUUCGGAAUUACUGGGCGUAAAGCGCGUGUAGGCUGUCACGCAAGUCGGGUGUGAAAGCCCGGGGCUCAACCCCGGAAGUGCACUCGAAACUGCGCGACUAGAAUCUCGGAGAGGAUGGCGGAAUUCUGGGUGUAGAGGUGAAAUUCGUAGAUAUCCAGAGGAACACCGGUGGCGAAGGCGGCCAUCUGGACGAGUAUUGACGCUGAGACGCGAAAGCGUGGGGAGCAAACAGG
RNAcentral lists this unclassified non-coding RNA (253 nucleotides) under Polyangiaceae bacterium. RNAcentral describes it as "partial 16S ribosomal RNA". It matches the Rfam family "Bacterial small subunit ribosomal RNA", at positions 524 to 776 of the family's 1533-position model. The record is from RNAcentral. RNAcentral also lists the same sequence under 1 other name. Lineage: Bacteria; Pseudomonadati; Myxococcota; Polyangiales; Polyangiaceae.